RNAcentral lists this ribosomal RNA (274 nucleotides) under uncultured bacterium. Its description in RNAcentral is "partial 16S ribosomal RNA". It matches the Rfam family "Bacterial small subunit ribosomal RNA", at positions 523 to 796 of the family's 1533-position model. The record is from RNAcentral.
AUACGGAGGGUGCAAGCGUUACUCGGAAUCACUGGGCGUAAAGCGCGCGCAGGCGGGCUGAUAAGUUGGAUGUGAAAGCCUACGGCUCAACCGUAGAACUGCAUCCAAAACUGUCAGUCUAGAGUCUGGGAGGGGAAGAUGGAAUUAGUUGUGUAGGGGUAAAAUCCGUAGAGAUAACUAGGAAUACCAAAAGCGAAGGCGAUCUUCUGGGACAGUACUGACGCUGAGGCGCGAAAGCGUGGGGAGCAAACAGGAUUAGAUACCCCAGUAGUCC